CGUUACGCCGGUCACCCUAUUUGACCUGUAACCUUAUGUUUCAAUAAAUAGUUAGUUAUAGGUGUAAAACCUCGCGUUGAAGAGACCUGGCUUCAGUGGCUUACACCCUAGUAGAGAAGACAGAAAUACAAUGCGUUUUGUGUAGUUAAGCUUCUCAAAUCAAAUCAAAUAAUUUAUUUCUGCAGAAAAAAACAAUAUUUACGAAUUAAUUUUUAAAAAUCACAAUAUGUAAAAUAUUAUUUUCCGCAGCAGGCGGACACAAUAGCCUGGGGCUGUUUUAGCUGAGCCCCCCUGUUAACCGAAUUCUUUAAUUAAAUUUUAACAUUUAAAAAGCUUGACUCUGGAAAACUGGCAUUUUGUGACAUACAGAUAGAAAGUAGGAGAUUUGGAGUCUACAGAUAGAAAGUAGAAGAACUGGAGUUUACAGAUAGAACGUGGGAGAACUGGCGUUUGCAGAUAGAAAGUAGGAGAACUAGAGUUUUCAGACAGAAAGUAGGGCAGAACUAAAUUUUACAGAUAGAAAGUAGAAGAGAACUAAAAUUUACAGAUAGAAAGUAGGAGAACUAGAGUUUUCAGACAGAAAGUAGGGCAGAAUUAGAUUUUACAGAUAGAAAGUACUAGAGUUUGUAAACCUAUAUUUUUUAACAAAUAAAAGAUAGGAAUUUACUGCUUUGUGUUCAAUUUUAGUAGGGGGGUGGGGGCGGCAAGAUUUUUUGUUGCGCGCUUAAUUUUGCCCCCCACCAUGAGAUAAUGUUUACGUCCGCCCCUGCUUUCUACUUGAUCCUCUGUUUCUUCUUUCUGUUCUAUAGUUUAUUAUUUUACUCGUUGUUUUAUUUGAACCUAUUCUUGUCCUUCUUGACAUUGUUCAUUUCCUUGUUUUUCUGCAUUUUCUUUCAUUUGAUCUUCUUUUGUCUUUCUUCUUGAUCUUCUGUUUCUAUUUUCCAGCAAUAUUCUGCUAAAUAUAUGCUUUUUCUUUUUGACCCAGUACUCUGUUUGUUAUUUUCCUUGUUUUUCUACAUGUUAUUCCACUGUUUGUCCUUCAGAUUGUUCUUCUGUUUCACUUUUGCCAUGCUAUUCUGCAUAAUCUUCUCCUUGUUAUACAGGAUGUGUAAAUUCUACUGUAUAGGUUGAAGACGAUUCGGUAAACCCUUCGGAUGAUCCUGUAGAUGAUUCAAGACCUGAAGAUUGAAGAUAUAGAAGCAAGAUUCAAUCUGAUUAUAUUUGAUCUUGUUUAAUUGUCAAAGUAAAUAUUUACUCAAAAAAUCUUCAAAACUAUUUAAAUGAAAAUUCAUUCUUAAAACUGAAAUGUAAAACUUUUGAGUUUACUGUCUGAAAUCAUAAACAUUUUAUAUUCAGAACCAUGAAUUUUAUAUGGAUUUUAUCUAAAAGAUACCUAGCCAAUAUUUAAUCAAUAUUUAUCCUAUAUUUAAAAAACUUUCAUUAAAGAAAAUAUUAAUUUCUGAAAUCUUUUUCAGAAAGAAUGAGAAAGUUUAAAGCGCGUAGUUGGACUACAAGUAUGUGAUUAGGAUGUAUAAACCUAUCACAAUCUUUGUACCUGGAAUAUAUAUAGAUCUAAGUAGAGGCUGCGUUUCUGCCGAAACUUGGGCAACCUUUUUACACAAGCGCUGCAGUGGUCUAAAACUCCCUUUUGGACUGAGCAGCGUGUAAAGGUUGAACGGUCGAAGUUUCUCUCGACAAAGAUUAAAUAGAAAACUGAAACCAGUGCUGGAAACCUACCCUUUAGUACAGUGUAAACUGCUGUGCUCAACCUGGACUUUGUCAAGCCUUCAAGUCCCGAAAGAACUCUUGGUGUGGAGUUUGAGAAUCUCUGUAGGUCGAUGUAAACUAAAAUGGUCCUACAGACAUUAUUGAUCGAUUGAUGAGUAUGCAAGCAUUGAACUGUGAAACGUAAACUGUGAACUACUGUGCUCUCAUGUAAAUGGAUACCCACCGUAAUUUUUCACCUGUUUUUGGAUUACUGUCUACAAAUAAAUUCUAAACUGACA
This 2006-nucleotide long non-coding RNA is filed under the name Eurytemora carolleeae. RNAcentral describes it as "uncharacterized LOC111704023". Lineage: Eukaryota; Metazoa; Arthropoda; Copepoda; Calanoida; Temoridae. The record is from RNAcentral.